ACUGCGUUAUGACGCGAAUUUCACCAUAGAAUUUCACCGGCAGAUCGCCGCGCGUUAAUCGCAUCCUUUCAACCGCGAUCCGCGCGAGGCGAGCUGGCAGCGACGUCGCGAGGAGAAGGGGAAGAAGGGUCGAGGUCUAAGGAAUAAUAAUUAUACAGAGCCUGGAAAAGUCACGAUGUCGGAAAAGCAUGGCUGAUAUACGCAAGAAUGUAAUUCGCGAAUGGAAAAAGCCGUGACGGAACGGCGAGGGAAAUGAGCAAACGGAUGUAAACAUCGAGCGAUGGACAGAGACGAAUGGGGCGCGUUGCGCGCGAAAUAAAUUGAAUUAACAUAUUAACGGACAACGAACACGAAAAAGCGCAGGGCGCCAUUCAAGGUACCGUCUUUCUCUCGCUGUUGUACAAAAUAAAUCAAAACAAUUAUGAGAUUAAAGGAAGGUCCCUGCAGGAUUUGAUAUACAGCCACGGAUUAAAAAAAUCAUGCAAGCGAAGAAAUUCGUUUUUGAAAAAAUUUCAUAUUGAAACGAAGGAAAAAUGUCAUUUGUCUGAAUCAUUUGUCAGACCCUUUUGAGUGAGUCAGCCCAUGUAAUUAGUGAAUUUCGUUUCGUUUGACUCGGGGCUACUUACUUCACAAAUAUACUCCAAAGAAUCCGAAUGAUAUAUUUAACGAAGUGUCGUAUAGGUACGCGGAGUUACGCGGUCAAUUGGAAUCUAAAUCGAGCGUAAUAAGCUGUCGUUCCAGGCAAUGCGAGCCGUGAUCUCGUGAGAAGAAGGAAGCUCUUAAUCGGCGUUCAUUAAUUUAAUCUCAAAUUAAAGACGAGAGAGUUUUAUUUAUAUACUUUGCCCCUCUCUCUAACUCCAAGAAUACAUUCGAAUAAUUGAUCGCGCAAAAAAGAAAAUUUAAUAAUCGAAUCGUUUGAUAGAUUCUUGGCGUAGUAAACAAAAUGAAAAAUGCAGAAAUCUCGCGAAUUAUUUGUAGAGUUUAUCGAAGGGAUUUAAUACAUUUGGGAGAAAUGGACGA
Formica exsecta is the source of this 1020-nucleotide long non-coding RNA. RefSeq lists it as uncharacterized. The transcript has 3 exons. The record is from RefSeq and is a predicted model, not a curated record. Lineage: Eukaryota; Metazoa; Arthropoda; Insecta; Hymenoptera; Formicidae.